AUCACUUCUUGGCCUUUUGGCUAAGAUCAAGUGUAGUAUCGGUUCUUAUCAGUUUAAUAUCUGAUACGUCCCCUAUCUGGGGACCAUAUAUUAAAUUGAUUUUUGGAAAAGGGAGUUGGAAUAGGGGCUUGCUCUGUCCACUCCACGCAUCAACCUGGUAUUGCGGUACUUCCAGGAGCGGUGCACUUUCU
This 191-nucleotide small nuclear RNA is filed under the name Erpetoichthys calabaricus (reedfish). RNAcentral's name for it is "U2 spliceosomal RNA (ENSECRG00000014470.1)". It matches the Rfam family "U2 spliceosomal RNA". From Rfam's summary of the family: U2 is a small nuclear RNA (snRNA) component of the spliceosome (involved in pre-mRNA splicing). Lineage: Eukaryota; Metazoa; Chordata; Cladistia; Polypteriformes; Polypteridae. The record is from RNAcentral.